GAUGAACGCUGGCGGCGCGCCUAACACAUGCAAGUCGAACGGUUAAAGCACCUUUUAGGUGUGUAUAAAGUGGCGAACGGCUGAGUAACACGUGGGCAACCUGCCCUCCUCUUGGGGAUAGCCUCGGGAAACCGAGGAUAAUACCCGAUACUUCAAUGUGGCCGCAUGACGACAUUGAGGAAGCUUUUGCGGAGAAGGAUGGGCCCGCGGCCUGUUAGCUUGUUGGUGGGGUAGAGGCCUACCAAGGCAAUGAUGGGUAGCUGGGUUGAGAGACCGACCAGCCAGAUUGGGACUGAGACACGGCCCAGACUCCUACGGGAGGCAGCAGUGGGGAAUCUUGCACAAUGGGCGAAAGCCUGAUGCAGCGACGCCGCGUGCGGGACGAAGGCCUUCGGGUUGUAAACCGCUUUCAGCAGGGACGAGGCGAUAAGUGACGGUACCUGCAGAAGAAGCCCCGGCUAACUACGUG
This 469-nucleotide ribosomal RNA is filed under the name uncultured bacterium. RNAcentral's name for it is "partial 16S ribosomal RNA". It matches the Rfam family "Bacterial small subunit ribosomal RNA", at positions 28 to 507 of the family's 1533-position model. The record is from RNAcentral.